This 995-nucleotide ribosomal RNA is filed under the name uncultured bacterium. RNAcentral's name for it is "bacterial SSU rRNA". It matches the Rfam family "Bacterial small subunit ribosomal RNA", at positions 355 to 1375 of the family's 1533-position model. The record is from RNAcentral.
UGGGGAAUAUUGCACAAUGGGGGAAACCCUGAUGCAGCGACCCCCCGUGAAGGAAGAAGGUCUUCCGAUUGUAAACUCCUGUUGUUGGGGAAGAUAAUGACGGUACCCAACAAGGAAGUGACGGCUAACUACGUGCCAGCAGCCGCGGUAAAACGUAGGUCACAAGCGUUGUCCGGAAUUACUGGGUGUAAAGGGAGCGCAGGCGGGAAGACAAGUUGGAAGUGAAAUCUAUGGGCUCAACCCAUAAACUGCUUUCAAAACUGUUUUUCUUGAGUAGUGCAGAGGUAGGCGGAAUUCCCGGUGUAGCGGUGGAAUGCGUAGAUAUCGGGAGGAACACCAGUGGCGAAGGCGGCCUACUGGGCACCAACUGACGCUGAGGCUCGAAAGUGUGGGUAGCAAACAGGAUUAGAUACCCUGGUAGUCCACACCGUAAACGAUGAUUACUAGGUGUUGGAGGAUUGACCCCUUCAGUGCCGCAGUUAACACAAUAAGUAAUCCACCUGGGGAGUACGACCGCAAGGUUGAAACUCAAAGGAAUUGACGGGGGCCCGCACAAGCAGUGGAGUAUGUGGUUUAAUUCGACGCAACGCGAAGAACCUUACCAAGUCUUGACAUCCCUUGACAGGCAUAGAAAUAUGUUUUCUCUUCGGAGCAAGGAGACAGGUGGUGCAUGGUUGUCGUCAGCUCGUGUCGUGAGAUGUUGGGUUAAGUCCCGCAACGAGCGCAACCCUUAUGGUCAGUUACUACGCAAGAGGACUCUGGCCAGACUGCCGUUGACAAAACGGAGGAAGGUGGGGAUGACGUCAAAUCAUCAUGCCCUUUAUGACUUGGGCUACACACGUACUACAAUGGCGUUAAACAAAGAGAAGCAAGACCGCGAGGUGGAGCAAAACUCAGAAACAACGUCCCAGUUCGGACUGCAGGCUGCAACUCGCCUGCACGAAGUCGGAAUUGCUAGUAAUCGUGGAUCAGCAUGCCACGGUGAAUACGUUCCC